UCGAGCAGUUUCGGAAGUGUCUUGUCGGUGGGCGCCACUCGUCCGUAAUUACGCCUCAGAAAUGUUGAAGAACUUUCAAGUGCUUGUCAGAGAAAUAAAUUAUUUAAAAAAAGCUCACAUUUUUAAUAAUGGAUUUGCACGAGAAAGACUCGUUAACUUCGUCGGCUGAUGGAGGCUCUUUGUCUCCUUCCGAAGGAGAUUUGUUCGAAGGUCCUUCGACAUCUGAAGAUUCAUUCUUGUCCAAACUUCUUCCACUUGAAUCUGUUAUUUGGUAUUGCAAUAAAGACAAAGACACUACAGCUGGAACUAAAACCAAACUCUACUUAGAUGUUCUAAAUAGAGCAACCUCAUCUAAUGAACCAGAAGAGUUUUAUAAGUUAAUGUUGCUAGCUGAAAAACUACACACAGAAAUAGGUUGUGAUAACUCAGUAAAGAUAUGGAAAAGAGUUAAACCCAUCUUAACCAUGUGCUCCCGAAUUGGUUUAAAUGAAAUAGCUCGUGAAAUCGCUCUUUACCUUUACAGCGAUCCGGAGAGUGUUUCUGCAUUUAUACAUGGUUUUAAUAGACUUCGCAUAUCAGAUCCAUUUCUGAAGCAGUUGAUACGUAAGAAGAGAGAUUCAUUGAUCUAACUGCCAACGUUGAAAUUUUAAUAGCUGGAGAGAGAGCUCAACGAGAUAAAACACUGAAAUUUGUCGAAUCAAGUAUUCCAUGUUUCAUCCAAUUUCUUGAAACUUCAAGAAACGAUUAAGACGACCGUAAUUAAGUUUUCUAAAUUAGAUUUUUGAAAAAUCUCAUGGUCCUUCAAUACUCAAUGUGCCUAUAACCCCAAAAUCAAUUGGAGGAGAGAAAGAAUGAAAAAAGACUGAUAACAAAUUAUGAUUGGGAGAUAUACUGAACUAUAUAUUAUAAAAGUUAAAUGAAAAAAUAGUUACUGCCACUCCUCCAUCUUCAAACAAACUCUUACUGGAUUACAUCCUAUGCACUGCUCAAAUACAAUCUGUAAUUCUCAACUGGGAUCAAACAACCUUAGAUAAGCUUCAAAAAUUGAAUAUAAAAACAUUUUGCUCUCAAAUCAGGAUCAGCAAGAGAUUUGUUGAAGAAAAUGUAUAUGAAAAUGGAGAAAUCAUCAAACUACAGGAUUUAUCUCAGAAAAAAAGUUCAGAAGCUUCUCGAAACCAAAUAGACUUGUUAUUGUAUUUAAUAUAUUUUUAUAUUAUAUUUUUUUCAAUAAAAAGAAUAUAUUUUUCUUAAAAUAACAAAAAAAUAAAACUUCUCUCACAAGCCAGAUAACCGAUCUGCAGUCAUGUAAGCAAAUCCAUUUGAGUUUAAUAUAUUGUAAACACAUUUUUAGAUGUUAUAUACACACGCGUGUAUGUGUAUGUGCAAAAUAUGAGUAAUAAUAUUUAGGAAAAUAUUGGAGCAAAAUCCAAUUUUUAGCUUAGGAACAACA
RNAcentral lists this unclassified non-coding RNA (1450 nucleotides) under Monomorium pharaonis (pharaoh ant). Its description in RNAcentral is "uncharacterized LOC105836677, transcript variant X1". The record is from RNAcentral. Lineage: Eukaryota; Metazoa; Arthropoda; Insecta; Hymenoptera; Formicidae.